Xiphophorus hellerii (green swordtail) is the source of this 1765-nucleotide long non-coding RNA. RefSeq lists it as uncharacterized. The transcript is spliced from 3 exons. NCBI's taxonomy places the organism in Eukaryota, Metazoa, Chordata, Actinopteri, Cyprinodontiformes, Poeciliidae. The record is from RefSeq and is a predicted model, not a curated record.
CAGCGUCCCCUGCCGCCGCGCGCUGCCACACCUGCAUUAAACGGGGGAAGUCCGUCGAUGCGGUGAGCAGGCGAAGGAGAGAAGCUGAGUCUGCGGACGGAGAGCCAACGGAGGCAGCGAAGCGGGCACUACAGCCGCAAGGAUCGGAACAUCCUGGUCCAAAAGGCUGAAGGUGCUCAGCGAGAUACAGCUGUGGGACUUUACGUAGCCCAUGGCUGAAUAUUAAAAAAAGGACCUUCACGGCUCAGAAAGGAAGACAUCAGACUGACAAACCAAGUGCGCAGGUUUUCCUUUGUGAUCCCUAACAGAGAGGACAGUGACACUGACUCGGCCAUUGUCUCUGCACCGUUUCCGGAUAGAGUGAGGCUCCCCGAGGUCCUUGCCUGUCCAUUGUAUCAGGAGAGAGAGAGAAAGAAAAAAAGAAAAAUCCAGCUUGUCUACAUAAAGACCUAUUCAGCAUCAUUCCUCUUGGCUGACAGUAACAGAAUCCACCAAGAAAAGCAGUGUCCUUAGCCCCGAGCAAUUCCCUUCAUCCUUAGCCCCUUCUUCUCAAACCGCUUUACACCUAUUCCUCCCCCUCAGCCUCAAUCCACUUCCCAGCCUUAUCCCCUAUUUGAAGUCCCACAUGACAGCUCAAAAACAUCCGUUACCCUACCAAUCCACACGAGCCUGCUCUUCUCUCCCUCCAGCCCCUGUGGCGCUUGGCACCAGUGCCCAUCACAUAGACAGAUGGAGCCAACCCUGACCCCUCUCUUCGCCCAUGGGGACGCCAAGAGAUUCAACGCCUGAGUAAAGGAGAGGGGCGGGGGUUGGAGUGAGAGUGAGCGUGAAGAAAAGGAACAGGAAGAGCAGAAGGAGAGCAUCACACUGUCACCACGGCAACACAUCACACAAUCUCCUGUGGACUCCCCAUCAGCUGUAGUCGAUGCUCUCGGAUAAAAUCACUCGCAACGGGAAGUUCAGCACAUGUUUUCCCAUUGGCAUGUUUUUACUUUGGGUGUUUGACAGAAAAAUCUUCCACUAGCUUCUUUUUGUCUGGGCAAGGUGUCAUUAAAAUACUUGAUGAGGAAACCAAAGAUAUAGGAGGAAAACCAUUUUUCUAUGACAUACAGACUCUGAACACUAAUUUCAGAUAGAAGCGAGCACCAAAUGGAAACAGACUGAGAGAACUGAGUUAAUAAUUUGUUUCACCUGAGGAAACCAGAAGAAACAAAUCUUGUGGGACUUCACACACUGUGGGUGUGCUUUUCCUUCCUGUUACCUGUGACAUUCAUAUAUGCAAUACAUUAAUUGCAUGGGUAUUAACUUUGCACAGGAGCAUUAUCAGGUUCAUUUUCCUGAUGCCAAACUUUUCCUGUUUGGAUCCUGUUUUUUACAUUUCUCUGCAGCUGAUCAGGACUCAGAUGAGCAUACAAUGCCAGGCAACCAAUUUUAAGAGAGCCACGUUCCACAAUAAAUGAAGUGCUAAUAGCCAGUGAAAUGAAUCCAGCUGGCCAACAUAACAGAGAGGGGAAUACCGGCAUCCCAAAGCUUCCCAGGUGACUGCUGCCGCCGUGGAGGGACAAGCUAAAAAUUCUGCUGCUGCUGCCCGGAUUCUUUGCUUUGAAUAUUGAUGCAGUAAAGGACAAUUUGUAUCCACUGGCUGUGGGCUAUAAAGAUUUUCAUUCACACAGAGGCAAGCAACCCAAGAUGACUUUCUGGGAACUUUUUGUACACACCGGUGCUGAUAAGAUCUAAAUACACUGGGCUUAGAGGAGGCUUACAA